RNAcentral lists this ribosomal RNA (464 nucleotides) under uncultured bacterium. RNAcentral describes it as "partial 16S ribosomal RNA". It matches the Rfam family "Bacterial small subunit ribosomal RNA", at positions 338 to 795 of the family's 1533-position model. The record is from RNAcentral.
CCUACGGGUGGCAGCAGUAGGGAAUUUUCGUCAAUGGGCGCAAGCCUGAACGAGCAAUGCCGCGUGAACGAGGAAGGUCUUCGGAUCGUAAAGUUCUGUUGAAGGGGAAAAAGAGCGGAGAGAGGAAAUGGUCUCCGAUUGAUAUUACCCUUCGAGGAAGUCACGGCUAACUACGUGCCAGCAGCCGCGGUAAGACGUAGGUGGCGAGCGUUAUCCGGAAUGAUUGGGCGUAAAGGGUGCGUAGGCGGCCUGCUAAGUCUGGGGUGAAAGGUACCGGCUCAACCGGUACAGGCCCUGGAAACUGGCGGGAUAGAGGGCAGGAGAGGGCGGUGGAACUCCAUGUGUAGCGGUAAAAUGCGUAGAUAUAUGGAAGAACACCAGUGGCGAAGGCGGCCGCCUGGCCUGUUACUGACGCUGAGGCACGAAAGCGUGGGGAGCAAAUAGGAUUAGAUACCCCAGUAGUC